GUCUAUGGCCAUACAACCCUGAACGUGCCUGAUCUCAUCUGAUCUCGGAAGCUAAGCAGGGUCGGGCCUGGUUAGUACUUGGAUAGGAAAGAGCUAGGAUAUAUAUUCA
RNAcentral lists this ribosomal RNA (109 nucleotides) under Felis catus (domestic cat). Lineage: Eukaryota; Metazoa; Chordata; Mammalia; Carnivora; Felidae. The record is from RNAcentral.